CCAAAGGAUGUGGGGUCACUCAUAUGACCCCUAACUGAUUUAAUAAAAAAUUUUGACACAUAUGUAUUGAAGACCUAUUAUGGACUAGUCUGUAUUCUCUUGCUGCUUUUAGUCAAAUGAAAGCUAUAAACCAAUAACCAUGCUAGUAGAUCACUAAUUCCAAUGGAGAUGAGUGCUCUGAAGGAAAGGAACGGGUUCUCAGAGAGUAUACAGUGAAGAAGGCCAACGCUGAGUGAGGAGUCAGCAGGAUUUCUCCGAGGAAGUCACUGCAAAUGAUCAGGCUUCAGGGAGGCCCGGCCUGUAGCCCUUUUCUUUUUGUUAAGCAUUGCAUGUGACAGGGGUGCUUUUCCGGUCAAAGUCAAGGCACUUUUAUGUGCUUUGAAUAUUAUUAUGUCAGCUUCCUGCUACCAUGGUGAUUUACUAAACAGAGUCUGGGAUUUACUAGUCUGAGUAACAGGCGAUGGAAGCAGGUUCACUCUUUCAACCAGUAGAUCCAGUCUUCUGCAUCUGCCUCUUCCCUCAACGGCUGCCUUCCGGCAACCCCGAGAACAGAGUUGGACAGUCCAUCCCUGGGAGACCCUGUCCCAGAACAUCUAGACUCCCAGGUUGGUCCUCUUUGGAACAUGAGAGGAUGUGGUUACAUUUGCAAUUGAAAGACAUCAUCUAGGGGGUAAAUGUGAAAGGAAAGGUCCAGGAAGGACCAGGGCAGAGGGCUCCCCUAUAAUUCUCUGAUGUUCAUUCCUUUGAACACCCUUAGCCAUGUAGACACAUUUGCAAGGAGAGAGUUUGCAAAGCCAUUAAUAGAAACAAAAGUAGUAA
RNAcentral lists this long non-coding RNA (819 nucleotides) under Macaca nemestrina (pig-tailed macaque). RNAcentral describes it as "lncRNA (ENSMNEG00000045746.1)". Lineage: Eukaryota; Metazoa; Chordata; Mammalia; Primates; Cercopithecidae. The record is from RNAcentral.